GAUAACCGUAGUAAUUCUAGAGCUAAUACAUGUAUAAAGUCUUGUAGACUGCAUUUAUUAGAAUGAAAACCAUAGGUUUCGGCCUAUUCGUGAGUAAUAAUAACUAAUCAUAUCGUAUGCUUAUGUAACGAUGUGUCUUUCAAGUUUCUGCCCUAUCAGCUUUCGAUGGUAGUGUAUUGGACUACCAUGGCAGUAACGGGUAACGAAGA
Molecule: ribosomal RNA, 209 nt
Filed under: Blastocystis sp. subtype 3
Lineage: Eukaryota; Bigyra; Opalinata; Blastocystidae
Description: partial 18S small subunit ribosomal RNA
Rfam family: Eukaryotic small subunit ribosomal RNA
Source: RNAcentral